RNAcentral lists this long non-coding RNA (1019 nucleotides) under Bos indicus x Bos taurus (hybrid cattle). RNAcentral's name for it is "lncRNA (ENSBIXG00005028928.1)". The record is from RNAcentral. Lineage: Eukaryota; Metazoa; Chordata; Mammalia; Artiodactyla; Bovidae.
GAGGGGGUGUCAUGCAGGACAAAAGACUCACCAGAGGGCUGAGAACAGAACUCCAGUCUGACCCAUGACCAUGGAGAUCAUGAAGCCUGAAGGCUCAGAGAUAAUAUCCAGGACAAAACAAAGCUAUCCCUCAGAAGUUCUUUGGUAUCGUGUAGACCUGGCGCACACUGGCUCUUCAGGAAUUGUGAAGAUGAGACAGCUUCAUGUGAGUGGCCGGCUAGAAGGUGGGAAUAAGUCGUCUUUGAGCUGUGGUAAGCAGGCUGGUGCCAUGGGAACAGAGCCUGGCGUCUCAAUUGCCCACAUGAUAAGAAACCCUGCUGCUGACUUUGUCAUUGUUCCUUUGCAAUCAGUGACGGCUUUCCAAAAAAAAAAAAAAAAAUGGGGGAGAAACUGCAGGGAUUUCCUAGGGUCUGAAUAGGCAGAGGUGGAGGAUGUGGGGUCAGAUGGUCACACUCAGAGCUUUGCUCUGCUCCGUUCAGGCGAACAGAGGGCAUAGACACCCGGAAGCCCUUUCACAGUGUAGACACCUAAGCGGUUGGUCAAUCACACCCAGACCCCCCACCCCACUGUCCCGCCACACACAUGACUCAUCUUGACCUUUGCUCUAUUAUUGAACGGAUUCCUUGCCAAACUGGGGUUUUCAUAAAUGAUUUCCAGGAAAUGGGAAGGUUGAAAUCAAGUUGAACUCGUGCGGUUUUGCUCUUUAACUUGAGCUUCCUCUGUGAUUCCUGGAUGGUCUCACAGCUCUGCCUUCCAUAACCACUGCGGGUUGCUUGUUUUGACUCCAGGAAGCUCCGAGGUAAUCUAUCCUAUUAAACUCAAAUAGAAUGUUGGCAAGUAAAAAAAAAAAAGUCUGAGCAUCAGCCCACACAGAAGAGUUUAUUUUGCCCAAGAAGUAGAAAAUCAAAUCUCCAUCGCAUGGGAGUGAAUUUCCCUUGCUUGGCUUUCACAAGAAAACAUGCUUUGGACUCCCUUCCCAGAGGUAAAAAUAAAAGAGUGAAAGUUCUUUGUUUGAGUCA